AAGCUCGUAGUUGAAUUUCGGGAUCAAAUUGUCGGUCGUGCCUCGGUACGUACUGGCGUUAUUGGCUCCUCCCUUCUGAAGAACCACGAUGUCAUUAAUUUGGUGUCGCGGGGAAUCAGGACUGUUACUUUGAAAAAAUUAGAGUGUUUAAAGCAGGCUCGCGCUUGAAUACGUUAGCAUGGAAUAAUGAAAUAGGACGUUUGAUUCUAUUUUGUUGGUUUCUAGGAUCGACGUAAUGAUUAAUAGGGAUAGUUGGGGGCAUUAGUAUUCAAUUGUCAGAGGUGAAAUUCUUGGAUUUAUUGAAGACUAACUACUGCGAAAGCAUUUGCCAAGGAUGUUUUCAUUAAUCAAGAACGAAAGUUAGGGGAUCGAAGACGAUCAGAUACCGUCGUAGUCUUAACCAUAAACUAUGCCGACUAGGGAUCGGAUGAUGUUAAUUUUUUAAUGACUCAUUCGGCGCCNNACGGGAAACCAAAGUGUUUGGGUUCCGGGGGGAGUAUGGU
Molecule: ribosomal RNA, 503 nt
Filed under: uncultured Glomus
Lineage: Eukaryota; Fungi; Glomeromycota; Glomeromycetes; Glomerales; Glomeraceae
Description: SSU rRNA
Rfam family: Eukaryotic small subunit ribosomal RNA
Source: RNAcentral